UGUAGAGAGAGAUAAGGUUUUCCACAGGCCUCCUUUUCUGCAGGCUAAACACUCCUUGCUCCCUCAGGUCCUCCUCAUCAGACUGUGCUGCAGACCCUCCACGUCCUUCUUGUGAGCAAGGAGCCCAAAACUGAAUACAAAUGCAGCAAAUCAGAAGAUGCUCUUACCCCUCCAGGCAACACCAGGUUACUGGUCAGAGCCCAAAGUUCAGAACCCAGUGCUUUAAGCAAAAUUAUGCUGUGCUUGGAGGCUGUGUGUUCACCAAAAGGAAUUAGAAGUAAGUGAUUGUUAUAUUGCUUCCCACAGUCAUUUAGUGUUGGUCUUCACUGUGGCCAUUUCCUGUUUCAGUAAAAUGUUAUUU
This 361-nucleotide long non-coding RNA is filed under the name Cyanistes caeruleus (blue tit). RNAcentral describes it as "lncRNA (ENSCCEG00000011762.1)". The record is from RNAcentral. Lineage: Eukaryota; Metazoa; Chordata; Aves; Passeriformes; Paridae.